RNAcentral lists this ribosomal RNA (78 nucleotides) under Clostridium botulinum. The record is from RNAcentral. Lineage: Bacteria; Bacillati; Bacillota; Clostridia; Eubacteriales; Clostridiaceae.
UCUGGUGAUGAUGGCAUGGAAGUAACACUCCUACCCAUUCCGAACAGGAAAGUUAAGAUCCAUAGCGCCGAAGGUACU